UACGUAGGGGUCGAGCGUUGUCCGGACUUACUGGGCGUAAAGCGCGUGUAGGCGGUCCGGUAAGUCCGCUGUGAAAGUCGGGGGCUCAACCCUCGGAUGCCGGUGGAUACUGUCGGGCUUGAGUACGGAAGAGGCGAGUGGAAUUCCUGGUGUAGCGGUGAAAUGCGCAGAUAUCAGGAGGAACACCAAUUGCGAAGGCAGCUCGCUGGGACGUUACUGACGCUGAGACGCGAAAGCGUGGGGAGCAAACAGG
Molecule: ribosomal RNA, 253 nt
Filed under: uncultured bacterium
Lineage: Bacteria
Description: partial 16S ribosomal RNA
Rfam family: Bacterial small subunit ribosomal RNA
Source: RNAcentral